GACGAACGCUGGCGGCGUGCCUAAUACAUGCAAGUCGAGCGGACCGAACGGGAGCUUGCUCUUGUUCGGUUAGCGGCGGACGGGUGAGUAACACGUGGGUAACCUGCCCGUAAGACCGGGAUAACUCCGGGAAACCGGAGCUAAUACCGGAUAACACCGAAGACCGCAUGGUCUUUGGUUGAAAGGCGGCUUCGGCUGCCACUUACGGAUGGGCCCGCGGCGCAUUAGCUAGUUGGUGAGGUAACGGCUCACCAAGGCGACGAUGCGUAGCCGGCCUGAGAGGGUGACCGGCCACACUGGGACUGAGACACGGCCCAGACUCCUACGGGAGGCAGCAGUAGGGAAUCUUCCGCAAUGGACGAAAGUCUGACGGAGCGACGCCGCGUGAGCGAAGAAGGUCUUCGGAUCGUAAAGCUCUGUUGUUAGGGAAGAAGAAGCGUCGUUCGAACAGGGCGGCGCGGUGACGGUACCUAACGAGAAAGCCCCGGCUAACUACGUG
Molecule: ribosomal RNA, 499 nt
Filed under: uncultured bacterium
Lineage: Bacteria
Description: partial 16S ribosomal RNA
Rfam family: Bacterial small subunit ribosomal RNA
Source: RNAcentral